GGGGAGCUCUCGCGAGAUCCAGAGCUCCGGUCCUGCCUCCUCAGGGCGUUGCGCGGGCCGUAGAAGGCCACCUGAGAGGAGAAAAGAGAGGAUGCCAGGUGAAGGACUGAGGGGAAGGCGAUGAGAACUUUGCGGGCCGGGGUGCGGGUUCUGGGAACGCUACCGCCCCGUGCCUUUUGCCUCUGAGUCCUCGCGGAAUCACGCCUGCCCGUAGGGAACUGACAUUGGGAGACGUUUCACAAAAGGCGCUGAAGGAUCCAGCGAGCAUGGAUGUGCUCAAGAUGAGGCCAGAAGAGUCUGCAGGAGGAUCUGAGUCCAGAGAGCUGCCAAGGACCACGAGGAAAAGCUUGGGUCGUGCCUAGUAGCCGCACCCCUUUAUCUCGGCUGCGCACUGGGCCCUUCACGCCCUUUAUCUCCUAUCACCCUUAACCUUCUGGUUAAGUUCAAGCCCAAGGAGUUUUUCUUGACCUGCUUCUGCUGUUUGUGUCUGAGGAAUACCGGAGGAUUGACCCUAGUGGAUGCACUUUGAGGACACUGACUGGCUUGGUCGUCUGUCCCCAGCGCCUAGCAUAGAUAGAGGUGCUCAAAUUGUCGAAUGCCUCUAUGCUUAGAACUCCCAACGUCACCAGUGUAGCUGCCUUCAUCCAGAGGUUUUUCUGGGGAGCUGAAGAGAGAUCUCAGCUGUCUCUUAGGAGGGCUUACUGCUCUUACAGAGGACUUGAGUUCACGUCUCAGCACCCAGGUGUGUAGACAUGGGCCUGCUUCGGACGUCUGCAGCAGCUGACCAUAAUUGGCCUUGUGUUCUGGCGGAGGCAUGCUUUUGCCAGCUUCAGGAAUAAAGCUUUCAAGGCCACUGCAAGACAAAGGUGAACGGGUUUGCUUGUGUGGCACAGUGAUGCAUUAACUACAGACCAACAGUGAAAGAUGUUACCAAACUUUGAGCAGUCAGUAGUCUCCUGAGGACUACUCACCAGCCUCUUGACCUCCAGAGAUGAGGACGGACCCUUUCUUUGGUUUGCAAACCAAAGCCAUAAAGUAACUUUGAUGGCUCAUGUACCAAACAUUCCACAGCUAUAUUGAGCUUCAGACGUGGGCAGAGGGAAUAAACCAAACAAGCUCGUUACAGACUGUAUGUCUCAUAUUGUUUCUCUAAGUCCAGUACCCUGAGAUGGCUUCAUGCCCAUGCAUGUGGAAGGAGUCCUAGUGCCCAGAAGCCCCAAAUGUGUGUUGUCCUUUUGUGUUUAUUUAUUUAGAAACAAUGCUCCACUCUGAACUCCAGGCUGGCCU
Long non-coding RNA from Meriones unguiculatus (Mongolian gerbil), 1287 nucleotides. RefSeq lists it as uncharacterized. Lineage: Eukaryota; Metazoa; Chordata; Mammalia; Rodentia; Muridae. The transcript has 3 exons. The record is from RefSeq and is a predicted model, not a curated record.